GACGAACGCUGGCGGCGUGCUUAACACAUGCAAGUCGAACGGAAAGGCCCUGCUUGCAGGGUACUCGAGUGGCGAACGGGUAAGUAACACGUGGGUGAUCUGCCCUGCACUUCGGGAUAAGCCUGGGAAACUGGGUCUAAUACCGGAUAGGAGCCAUUUUUAGUGUGAUGGUUGGAAAGUUUUUUCGGUGUAGGAUGAGCUCGCGGCCUAUCAGCUUGUUGGUGGGGUAAUGGCCUACCAAGGCGGCGACGGGUAGCCGGCCUGAGAGGGUGGACGGCCACAUUGGGACUGAGAUACGGCCCAGACUCCUACGGGAGGCAGCAGUGGGGAAUAUUGCACAAUGGGCGCAAGCCUGAUGCAGCGACGCCGCGUGGGGGAUGACGGCCUUCGGGUUGUAAACUCCUUUCGCUAGGGACGAAGCUUUUGUGACGGUACCUAGAUAAGAAGCACCGGCUAACUACGUG
RNAcentral lists this ribosomal RNA (464 nucleotides) under uncultured bacterium. RNAcentral describes it as "partial 16S ribosomal RNA". It matches the Rfam family "Bacterial small subunit ribosomal RNA", at positions 28 to 507 of the family's 1533-position model. The record is from RNAcentral.